GGGUGAGCUGGCUGUGACAUCUUUCAGCACAUCCAUCACCAAAAUUCAUUCAGCUAAUCUUGCUGGUUCAACAGGUGUCUUCAUGUUUCAUUUACUACCCCAUGUGCAUCCCUUUGGAAGUUGUACACUUUGUAGAAGGAACUACCUUUCCUGAACAGAGAUGGGUAGAUUUUCAGGGGAGAUAUGGGAGUAGCUGCAAUUCUCUGCUGCAAUUCUUCAAACAAGCUCUCAGAGUGAGAGGGUGUCAUACUUUUUCACAUCUU
RNAcentral lists this small nuclear RNA (263 nucleotides) under Sorex araneus (European shrew). Its description in RNAcentral is "7SK RNA (ENSSARG00000019375.1)". It matches the Rfam family "7SK RNA". Rfam says of the family: 7SK was discovered as an abundant small nuclear RNA in the mid-70s but a possible function has only recently been suggested. Two independent studies have found that 7SK RNA binds the CDK9/cyclin T complex (known as elongation factor P-TEFb). P-TEFb activates transcription by phosphorylating the C-terminal domain of RNA polymerase II. The record is from RNAcentral. Lineage: Eukaryota; Metazoa; Chordata; Mammalia; Eulipotyphla; Soricidae.